UGACCCAGCAGUUGUUCCGGCUGCCAUGGAAGCAGACAAUGGAACCCUGCCCCUUUCACUGGGCGAGUGCUGAGAUCACACAUUUUGCUUCUUUAGAAGAACCAAGCCCAUAUGACUCAGGCUGAAUCCAUCCCUGAGCGCAUUUCUCUGGGACAACAUCAUGGCAUAACAACAUCGGAUUGUCUAUGUAGUUUUUGCAAAGUCAAAUCAUUAAGUGCAGGACCCCAGAUUCAGUGGGAUCACUCUUGCAACUAAUCCAGGAAGGAGAAGGAAGGAAAGUGGAAGCCAAGUGAAACAAGGGUGAAUGUUGAAGAUUGGAAAAGAGAUGAAUCUCAGUAUCCAUGGGACUUACUUCUGAGUAGACAGGUUUGUGAAUGUGCUGUAAAACUGCUACAGUAAACCUCAACAUUGAAACCAAAGAA
Molecule: long non-coding RNA, 422 nt
Organism: Podarcis raffonei (Aeolian wall lizard)
Lineage: Eukaryota; Metazoa; Chordata; Lepidosauria; Squamata; Lacertidae
Exons: 2
Source: RefSeq, a predicted model, not a curated record